UUAAAUUGAAGAGUUUGAUCAUGGCUCAGAUUGAACGCUGGCGGCAGGCCUAACACAUGCAAGUCGAACGGUAACAGGAAUCAGCUUGCUGAUUUGCUGACGAGUGGCGGACGGGUGAGUAAUGUCUGGGAAACUGCCUGAUGGAGGGGGAUAACUACUGGAAACGGUAGCUAAUACCGCAUAACGUCGCAAGACCAAAGAGGGGGACCUUCGGGCCUCUUG
RNAcentral lists this ribosomal RNA (222 nucleotides) under Escherichia coli. RNAcentral's name for it is "partial 16S ribosomal RNA". It matches the Rfam family "Bacterial small subunit ribosomal RNA", at positions 1 to 217 of the family's 1533-position model. The record is from RNAcentral. Lineage: Bacteria; Pseudomonadati; Pseudomonadota; Gammaproteobacteria; Enterobacterales; Enterobacteriaceae.